GAUGAACGCUGGCGGCGUGCCUAAUACAUGCAAGUCGAGCGAACGGACGAGAAGCUUGCUUUUCUGAUGUUAGCGGCGGACGGGUGAGUAACACGUGGAUAACCUACCUAUAAGACUGGGAUAACUUCGGGAAACCGGAGCUAAUACCGGAUAAUAUUUUGAACCGCAUGGUUCAAAAGUGAAAGACGGUCUUGCUGUCACUUAUAGAUGGAUCCGCGCUGCAUUAGCUAGUUGGUAAGGUAACGGCUUACCAAGGCAACGAUGCAUAGCCGACCUGAGAGGGGGAUCGGCCACACUGGAACUGAGACACGGUCCAGACUCCUACGGGAGGCAGCAGUAGGGAAUCUUCCGCAAUGGGCGAAAGCCUGACGGAGCAACGCCGCGUGAGUGAUGAAGGUCUUCGGAUCGUAAAACUCUGUUAUUAGGGAAGAACAUAUGUGUAAGUAACUGUGCACAUCUUGACGGUACCUAAUCAGAAAGCCACGGCGAACUACGU
This 496-nucleotide ribosomal RNA is filed under the name uncultured bacterium. Its description in RNAcentral is "partial 16S ribosomal RNA". It matches the Rfam family "Bacterial small subunit ribosomal RNA", at positions 28 to 506 of the family's 1533-position model. The record is from RNAcentral.